Molecule: long non-coding RNA, 1186 nt
Organism: Aethalodelphis obliquidens (Pacific white-sided dolphin)
Lineage: Eukaryota; Metazoa; Chordata; Mammalia; Artiodactyla; Delphinidae
Exons: 2
Source: RefSeq, a predicted model, not a curated record
CAAACACGUCUCCCCUGCAUCGGCAGGCGGACUCCCAACCACUGCGCCACCAGGGAAUUCCUCCCUUACUCUUUAAGGCUUCAUUUUUUUCCUUCGGGAUGUUUCUGCAGCAUCUUCACCUUGUCGUUUUCUACCUUCAGUACUGUCCAGAGACCAGAUGGCCAUGCAUCUCUCUGUGGGUCCUUAAAGGCAGGAACCAUGCCCCCCUUCCUAGCAGCACCUUGCAGAGGUGGCCACAUUCUGGAGAUGGAGGCUACAUGGGCCAGCCACCUUCCUCAUCUGGUGAUUCCAGGGCUCCAGACUGGGGGAGGGAAGUGGAGGCCUGAGGACAACACACAUCAUACUUCAUGGUCCUUUACAGGCUGAGGAGUCUGGUUUGCUCUAGAACCAACUGUAGCCACUGCUGGGAUCCUCUUUAUGGUGCCUGCCAAUCCAUGGCAUGGGGAUGAUAAACAACUCUGGUGGAUGGAUUUAAUGGAUGAAGGAAACAAUUUUCCUAGGGAGAAAGAAAGUGGUUUGUUUUUAAGACUUGGUUCCUCUCUUGGUCCUGGUGGUUUGUGAUCUAUAAAGAUCUAUUCAGCUCAUCUCUAUGGCUCCUUCCUGUUUACCACUUUCUUCAGAUCCUGAUACCACUAAAGAUACACAAUUUCCAAAAAUGUUGAAGUAAUAUAGGAAAAAUAAAAUUAUUUUGAUCAGUGGAAUUGGGGGAGGGAUGGAAAUACAGAUAAUUCUUUUUUAAAAACUUUUUUUGGUCAAAUAUUUAAAAGUUAAAAAUUUAGCAAGUUUGGUAAUACAAACUUUCCUCUUACUUUCUGUACGCUGAGUCUUUUGAAUCAUCUCUCGGUUUUAGUCUCUAUAAGAGGUUAAGAAGGUGCCAUUGCCAGGACUUAGAGUCCUGGUUUGGAGUGAGAAAAGGCUCCACCAACCUGGAGCGAGAGUAUCUGACUUUUCAUCACGAGGCACAUGAUCAAAAAGCCACUUGUUUGUGAUUACAGUGAAGUCCAGAAGGGCCUCCCUCUACUGAUGAAUACUGAACGUGAUUCAUGCGUGUGUCAAGUACAUAUGAAGGCCUUCAUCCCCUUUUUCCUUUUCUUAGCCAUCCUUCAGAGUGCCCUAGUUUCAUGGUGUGCUUUUGGUGGAACUAUACUGAACACUUCAACUGAAUAAAGCAUUACUUUCGGCUUAA